AGUUAAAUUCAGUAAUCACCUAAUUAUAGCUGACGUAGGAAACUAAGUCUAAAUUGGACUUCUUGUUCGUCUUCUAGUGGCCUAUAAAAGACAAAGGCCAUAAGGUCAUAGCGAAGUAGGCUCAUAAAGUGUGGAAUGCAAUCCAUUGAGAGGACUUGUGAGAGUGGAGAGUUGCGAUUUAGUCCAUUGAAGUGUGAGCAUUUUUUGAGUGUUGUGUGAGGUAAUUUGUGAGUGAUUUGUGGGUGAGAAAAAUAAUUUGUUAUAAUUAUUUUUUUCUUUUAUUAGUGGAUUUAUUAGUAGAGUAAGCUUAAAUCGAACAAUGUU
This 324-nucleotide unclassified non-coding RNA is filed under the name Hevea brasiliensis (rubber tree). The record is from RNAcentral. Lineage: Eukaryota; Viridiplantae; Streptophyta; Magnoliopsida; Malpighiales; Euphorbiaceae.